CUAAAGUGUAGGCAGUUGUUGCUGUUCUCAGGUGGCUCCAAGAAAGACUCUAAACAAUGUAUUCUGGGAGCUUACGCUUCCCAUCUUGGCACUGGAUCUGGCCUGCCAUUUGGGACAUAUCCAGGUAGUUGGCAGUUGCGAGUCUCCAUGUCAGCUUCUGCUUUCUUGAUAACUGUUUUUCUCUCUACGUGACUAGGGUUGAGUGAGAUGAAUAUAUCGAUGAUGAUUAACAGAAUUAAAGGCUACCAGUGCACUAAAGAAGAUAUGGAAUUUCUCCGACACAUGAAAAACCAAGAACAAGGACAGAUACUGAAGGCAAAAUAUUUACGUCUACAAAAGGAACUAACCACCGUGGUUCAGGCAAAGGAACUGCUAUUGGCACAGCGAGAGAAAGUGCAAGGAGAGAUUGUACAAAUGGUAACUGACCCACUAAGUAUAAGCUACACUGCAAGAUUAAUGCUGCCUCUUUUUGUUUGUUUCUUCAAUUCAAGCAAACCUUGAAAACAUCUUAUGCUAGAACAGUCCAACUUGGAAGAGCCUUCCUGGGUAACAGAAUGGAUCCUGCUGCUGUUGAAACUUUGCCAGCAAAAGAUGUGCUUGAGCAGCUGAAUCCUGUGACGCUGCAGCAUUUUCAACAGCGAGAGCAGGCUGAACUUCAGGCACUUAAGGAAGAGCUAAAGAAGUUAAAAAGUUCCAUUGCCCAACUGCCUCAGAAACAGGGAACAAGGCUGAAAAGAAAGUCCUAUAAACAAUGGAUACAGGAAGCGGAACAGAGCGUACAGCAAGAACAGGAAGAUGUGAAGAACCUGCAAUGUGAAGUUGAAACAGCACAGUCAAAACUAGCAGCAGUUCAGGAACAGCUGUGUAACACAAGAGCUGAAAUAGAGAAAUUGCAUACUUUGAAAGAGAGGACGCCUGUUUCUCGGUCACUGGAGAAUGCUGAAGAUUUUGACACUGAUUACCUUAACAGAAGACUUAACAGAAUCUUACGAAGAACAGAUAUCUUUUUAGAAAGGGAAAAAAUAAUCAAAAAAUUUAGUCUUUUGGAUUGA
RNAcentral lists this long non-coding RNA (1052 nucleotides) under Pelusios castaneus (West African mud turtle). RNAcentral describes it as "lncRNA (ENSPCEG00000002764.1)". The record is from RNAcentral. Lineage: Eukaryota; Metazoa; Chordata; Testudines; Pelomedusidae.